Molecule: long non-coding RNA, 2487 nt
Organism: Gossypium raimondii (Peruvian cotton)
Lineage: Eukaryota; Viridiplantae; Streptophyta; Magnoliopsida; Malvales; Malvaceae
Exons: 2
Source: RefSeq, a predicted model, not a curated record
GUCCAGUAAAAUAAAUGCAAUUUCCAAGUAAUUUUUAAAAACUUUCCAUUAAUGCCUUAUUUUCAGGAAUCUGAUACCCAUAUGCAUGAAAGAGCGUAACUACUCACAACCUGUUUGGUUCAAUGUAAUGGCAUAGCCAUUACAACUCAAUUCUAUGGGCCCACCACAAACCCUUGUUUGGUUCAAUUGCUAUUUAGUUUUCUAUUCCCGCUCAUCACUGAAUAGAGGAUGAAUAACAUUCUUUGCCCCCCCUCUAAAUUGCCAUUCAAAGCACGGUAGGAAUGCUGAGAGAUCACUUUUUUUUCAUUUUUACCCUCAUUUUUCAUCGUCAUCCUUUCUGCAGUUUCAACUACAGCCUCUACGUUCAUUACUUUCUCCAUUUAUAAAGCCCUAAACACUAUUGCCCCUCACCAAUUUUUUCAAUCUUUUCUUCGUAGGAAUCGAGAUUGUAAAAAUUUCUCAAUUCAGGGCAAAAUCUUCAGUAAGGAAAAAAGUCCAAACUCAAUUGAAGAACACAUUAGCUUUUGGUUUUGAUUUCAAAACGAUUCAAGACAAGGUUUCUCUUCAUUUAAGACCUUGGCAUCAUUCAUUUCAAUUAUGGGUUCGAGCAGUUGAUAUUUAUAUGGGUUAUAAGUUCCCUUCUUUAUCUUCUUCUUCUUUUAAUUAUUUUUCUUGUUGUUAAUUUGAUAGUUUUUGAUUGUUGGGUAAUUGUUGAAAUGAUAGGUGUUUCAACUUCGAGUGAGUUUUGUGAAGGAUCCACAAAAGAAAUAAGCAAUGUGGGAUAAACAACAUGAGUUUUUUUUUUGUUUUAGUUUUUUUAGUUUCUUUACUAUUUGAUUCUUGUUGAUUGAUUUAGCUGUUCUUAGUUCUUUAAACUACGGUCUUCGCUUUUGUGUUCUUUCAGUUCAAUUAAAAUGGGUUUGUUUGUUUUUACUUUUUCUGUACUAUUUGAUUCUUAUUGAUUGCCCCUUUUGUUGAUUUUGUUGUUCUUAGCUCUUUGCAAAUUACAGUUUUGCUUUUGUGUUCUUUCAGUUCAAAUUUAAAUGGGUUUGUCUGUUUUUACUUUUUUUUGUACUGUUUGAUUCUUAUUGAUUGCUCAUUUUGUUGAUUUUACUGUUUUUAGCUAUUGGCAAACUGCACAACAUUUGCUUUUUGUGUUUUUUUCAACUCAAUUAAAGACUAAAUUUCACCUGUAUGUUCAAAUUUAUUUAUGUUCCUUUUGAAAUCCUGUUUUACUUAUUGAUAUUUUCCUUUUUUACUUUGGUACUAAAUACUUCUAUUGGUAAAUAUACCAUUUGAUGUUGUUCAACUUGUUUUAGAGAAGGAGUUUGGUCGAAGCAUGGGUGAAAAUUUUGAGAAUUUUGAUGUAAACCCUCUCGGUUCAGCACCGAUCGCAUAGGGUUCUCGGGUUCCGAAAAUAGGAUAAUGCUUACAAAAACCGAAUGGAUAUACCUUAACAUAUGUUCACUUCUGAAUUAGGUUCAUCGAGUAAGAUUGAGAAGUGAUAAGAACGAUGUUGUUAAGGUAAGUCCCCUUGAAGAUGAUUUUAAAGCCUCAUAUGUCUAUGUGAUUUUGUCCAUUCAAGUUUAUGGCAGGUGCAACAUUCGGGAAUCCAGGAUCUUAUGAUGACUGACAUUUGUAACUUGCAAGCAUUUGUACUGUACAUUCAAAAGACUAAUAUCAAAUUUGAUAUGUUUUCUAUUACUAAGGAAAUGGAAAAACAGGUAUUUGUAUUCACACUGUUGUUCCUUGCAAAACACAUCUAUCCUUCUUUUAUGUAUUUCUCAGAUUAUGUAAAUUGAGAGUACCGUACCACUUGGAUUUGGAUUUCUUUGUUCUUCUGCAUGUCAUUAAUUAUUUACCCUUUGUGUUGUCAAAAUCGGAUAAUAGUUUGACUUUCUAAGAGAAGCCAAUGCUAUGGAGAGAAUUCGUUGUUUCUUAUACGAGAAUAACAAAAAGACUCUGGUCCCGGUUCUGAGAGUGCUUUAGGGUUUGGUUACAAGGAAAGUUCAUUUUGUUGUAAUUCUUCGUAUUGCUUGUACAUGUUUGUCCUAGUGUCACAGGCCGCAAUUCAAAACUCGUGACCAUUGCACCAAAUGCAUCCAAUGGAGGUCUAUUGUUUAGAUGGGGAUCAUUUGGCCCGCAAGAAUUAGCCCGAUUCAAAAAGCUGUUGGAGAAGCCUGUCAAAUUAAAGCCUGGUUGCCCGAUAAUGAAGAUAUGACAACUUAGGCUAAUUUGGUAAUUAAGCUUAGAAGAUUGAGGGAAUCAUAUCUUGUAAAGAUUAGAUUAGAUUUGAUAUGAUAUAUCUUGUAAAUCCCUAAAAUCAAGGGAUAUGGUUAAUCUCGUUCGUCAAUGUAAACGUAUCUUGAUCGUCGGUUUUAGGGGAGCUCAACUAUAAAUAGAGAGCCUCCCCCUCAUUUGUACUCACUCCAUUCAUUGUUUCAUUAUUCUUUGUGAAUAAGAGAAUAUUGAGAGCAUUUACUCAAA